ACGCUGGCGGCAGGCUUAACACAUGCAAGUCGAACGGUAACAGGGAUUAGCUUGCUAAUUUGCUGACGAGUGGCGGACGGGUGAGUAAUGCUUGGGAAUCUGGCUUAUGGAGGGGGAUAACUACGGGAAACUGUAGCUAAUACCGCGUAAUAUCGGAAGAUUAAAGGGUGGGACUUUCGAGCCACCUGCCAUAAGAUGAGCCCAAGUGGGAUUAGGUAGUUGGUUAGGUAAAGGCUGACCAAGCCGACGACCUCUAGCUGGUCUGAGAGGAUGACCAGCCACACUGGAACUGAGACACGGUCCAGACUCCUACGGGAGGCAGCAGUGGGGAAUAUUGCACAAUGGGGGGAACCCUGAUGCAGCCAUGCCGCGUGAAUGAAGAAGGCCUUCGGGUUGUAAAGUUCUUUCGGUGACGAGGAAGGUUGAUAGGUUAAUAGCCUAUCAAAUUGACGUUAAUCACAGAAGAAGCACCGGCUAACUCCGUGCCAGCAGCCGCGGUAAUACGGGGGGUGCGAGCGUUAAUCGGAAUAACUGGGCGUAAAGGGCACGCAGGCGGUGACUUAAGUGAGAUGUGAAAGCCCCGAGCUUAACUUGGGAAUUGCAUUUCAUACUGGGUCGCUAGAGUACUUUAGGGAGGGGUAGAAUUCCACGUGUAGCGGUGAAAUGCGUAGAGAUGUGGAGGAAUACCGAAGGCGAAGGCAGCCCCUUGGGAAUGUACUGACGCUCAUGUGCGAAAGCGUGGGGAGCAAACAGGAUUAGAUACCCUGGUAGUCCACGCUGUAAACGAUGUCGAUUUGGGGAUUGGGCUUUGAGCUUGGUGCCCGUAGCUAACGUGAUAAAUCGACCGCCUGGGGAGUACGGCCGCAAGGUUAAAACUCAAAUGAAUUGACGGGGGCCCGCACAAGCGGUGG
This 911-nucleotide ribosomal RNA is filed under the name uncultured bacterium. Its description in RNAcentral is "bacterial SSU rRNA". It matches the Rfam family "Bacterial small subunit ribosomal RNA", at positions 33 to 935 of the family's 1533-position model. The record is from RNAcentral.